RNAcentral lists this long non-coding RNA (339 nucleotides) under Phaseolus vulgaris (common bean). Its description in RNAcentral is "long non-coding RNA (PVUL_LNC002663)". The record is from RNAcentral. Lineage: Eukaryota; Viridiplantae; Streptophyta; Magnoliopsida; Fabales; Fabaceae.
GAAGCAAUAGACCAAAUCUAACUGACACAGCCAAAUUGAAGAAGACAGCAAAACAAAACUGAGUAAUAGCAACGGAUUAAAAGAAAAGCAAAUAGAAAGGGGAAUGAGUGGUAGUGAGUGAGAACCUGAAGCAGAAGAAGGAGCGGAGAGGAAGAGGAGGUUAAGAGGGGCGAGACCGGUGAAAGUGGUGAGAAGGGAUUUGGGUUUGGUUCGAGAAAUUCGGAGUUUCAUUGUAGAAGACGAAGAAGAUGAAGAGACAGAGAAGCGCACUGAAGAGGAAAGUGAAGGAGGAGAAGGAGAGGGUAAAGCAGAGCGCAAGGAAGCCAUAGACCACCUGUU